This 446-nucleotide ribosomal RNA is filed under the name uncultured bacterium. Its description in RNAcentral is "partial 16S ribosomal RNA". It matches the Rfam family "Bacterial small subunit ribosomal RNA", at positions 338 to 795 of the family's 1533-position model. The record is from RNAcentral.
CCUACGGGCGGCAGCAGUCGAGAAUCAUUCACAAUGGGGGAAACCCUGAUGGUGCGACGCCGCGUGGGGGAAUGAAGGUCUUCGGAUUGUAAACCCCUGUCAUGUGGGAGCAAAUUAAAAAGAUAGUACCACAAGAGGAAGAGACGGCUAACUCUGUGCCAGCAGCCGCGGUAAUACAGAGGUCUCAAGCGUUGUUCGGAAUCACUGGGCGUAAAGCGUGCGUAGGCUGUUUCGUAAGUCGUGUGUGAAAGGCGCGGGCUCAACCCGCGGACGGCACAUGAUACUGCGAGACUAGAGUGAUGGAGGGGGAAGCGGAAUUCUCGGUGUAGCAGUGAAAUGCGUAGAUAUCGAGAGGAACACUCGUGGCGAAGGCGGGUUCCUGGACAUUAACUGACGCUGAGGCACGAAGGCGAGGGGAGCGAAAGGGAUUAGAUACCCCUGUAGUC